Molecule: ribosomal RNA, 484 nt
Filed under: uncultured bacterium
Lineage: Bacteria
Description: partial 16S ribosomal RNA
Rfam family: Bacterial small subunit ribosomal RNA
Source: RNAcentral
AUUGAACGCUGGCGGCAGGCCUAACACAUGCAAGUCGAGCGGAUGAAGGGAGCUUGCUCCUGGAUUCAGCGGCGGACGGGUGAGUAAUGCCUAGGAAUCUGCCUGGUAGUGGGGGAUAACGUCCGGAAACGGGCGCUAAUACCGCAUACGUCCUGAGGGAGAAAGUGGGGGAUCUUCGGACCUCACGCUAUCAGAUGAGCCUAGGUCGGAUUAGCUAGUUGGUGGGGUAAAGGCCUACCAAGGCGACGAUCCGUAACUGGUCUGAGAGGAUGAUCAGUCACACUGGAACUGAGACACGGUCCAUACUCCUACGGGAGGCAGCAGUGGGGAAUAUUGGACAAUGGGCGAAAGCCUGAUCCAGCCAUGCCGCGUGUGUGAAGAAGGUCUUCGGAUUGUAAAGCGCUUUAAGUUGGGAGGAAGGGCAGUAAGUUAAUACCUUGCUGUUUUGACGUUACCAACAGAAUAAGCACCGGCUAACUUCGUG